This 520-nucleotide ribosomal RNA is filed under the name uncultured Mucilaginibacter sp. RNAcentral describes it as "bacterial SSU rRNA". It matches the Rfam family "Bacterial small subunit ribosomal RNA", at positions 9 to 526 of the family's 1533-position model. Lineage: Bacteria; Pseudomonadati; Bacteroidota; Sphingobacteriia; Sphingobacteriales; Sphingobacteriaceae. The record is from RNAcentral.
GAGUUUGAUCCUGGCUCAGGAUGAGCGCUAGCGGCAGGCCUAAUACAUGCGAGUCGGACGGGAUUGGAGAGCUUGCUUUCCAUGAGAGUGGCGCACGGGUGCGUAACACGUAUGUAACCUACCUUUGUCAGGGGGAUAGCCUCUCGAAAGAGAGAUUAAGCCCGCAUAAAAUCACAGUACAGCAUUGUAUAAUGAUCAAAUAUUUAUAGGACAAAGAUGGGCAUGCGGAACAUUAGCUAGUUGGUAAGGUAACGGCUUACCAAGGCAACGAUGUUUAGGGGAUCUGAGAGGAUGACCCCCCACACUGGUACUGAGACACGGACCAGACUCCUACGGGAGGCAGCAGUAAGGAAUAUUGGUCAAUGGGCGGAAGCCUGAACCAGCCAUGCCGCGUGCAGGAAGACGGCCCUACGGGUUGUAAACUGCUUUUGCAGGGGAAUAAACCCCCGUACGUGUACGGGGCUGAAAGUACCUUGAGAAUAAGGAUCGGCUAACUCCGUGCCAGCAGCCGCGGUAAUAC